RNAcentral lists this long non-coding RNA (234 nucleotides) under Homo sapiens (human). RNAcentral's name for it is "non-protein coding lnc-TTLL7-5:3". Lineage: Eukaryota; Metazoa; Chordata; Mammalia; Primates; Hominidae. The record is from RNAcentral.
AGAAGACAACAAAAGUCCAUGAAGAACAGGGCACUUCUCAGCAACCCUCAAGGAAGCAAUUGAGCCAGCGUCUUCCUUUGUUGCCCAGACUGGUCUUGAACUCUUGGCUUCCAGAGAUCCUCCUGCCUUUGCCUCCCAAAGUGAUGGAAUUACAGGUGUGAGCCACCAUGCCCAGCCUUGGGAAAUUCUGAACACUGAAAUUAAAUGGAUAAUUUCCUAUAGAAAUUCUACAGA